Molecule: ribosomal RNA, 444 nt
Filed under: uncultured Pseudomonas sp.
Lineage: Bacteria; Pseudomonadati; Pseudomonadota; Gammaproteobacteria; Pseudomonadales; Pseudomonadaceae
Description: bacterial SSU rRNA
Rfam family: Bacterial small subunit ribosomal RNA
Source: RNAcentral
CAUGUGGUUUAAUUCGAAGCAACGCGAAGAACCUUACCAGGCCUUGACAUGCAGAGAACUUUCCAGAGAUGGAUUGGUGCCUUCGGGAACUCUGACACAGGUGCUGCAUGGCUGUCGUCAGCUCGUGUCGUGAGAUGUUGGGUUAAGUCCGUAACGAGCGCAACCCUUGUCCUUAGUUACCAGCACGUUAUGGUGGGCACUCUAAGGAGACUGCCGGUGACAAACCGGAGGAAGGUGGGGAUGACGUCAAGUCAUUAUGGCCCUUACGGCCUGGGCUACACACGUGCUACAAUGGUCGGUACAAAGGGUUGCCAAGCCGCGAGGUGGAGCUAAUCCCAUAAAACCGAUCGUAGUCCGGAUCGCAGUCUGCAACUCGACUGCGUGAAGUCGGAAUCGCUAGUAAUCGUGAAUCAGAAUGUCACGGUGAAUACGUUCCCGGGCCUU